CAAAAAGUAGUAUAUUUAAUUACAUUUCGUUUACACCGAAAAAAAGGUCAAUGGCCCUUUUUGA
This 64-nucleotide transfer RNA is filed under the name Neotrigonia margaritacea. Its description in RNAcentral is "tRNA-Val". Lineage: Eukaryota; Metazoa; Mollusca; Bivalvia; Trigoniida; Trigoniidae. The record is from RNAcentral.